RNAcentral lists this ribosomal RNA (468 nucleotides) under uncultured bacterium. Its description in RNAcentral is "partial 16S ribosomal RNA". It matches the Rfam family "Bacterial small subunit ribosomal RNA", at positions 28 to 507 of the family's 1533-position model. The record is from RNAcentral.
GAUGAACGCUGGCGGCGUGCUUAACACAUGCAAGUCGAACGGUGAAGGCGGAGCUUGCUCUGCUGGAUCAGUGGCGAACGGGUGAGUAACACGUGAGCAAUCUGCCCCUGACUCUGGGAUAAGCGCUGGAAACGGCGUCUAAUACUGGAUACGAGCUGCGAAGGCAUCUUCAGCAGCUGGAAAGAACUUCGGUCAGGGAUGGGCUCGCGGCCUAUGAGCUUGUUGGUGAGGUAACGGCUCACCAAGGCGUCGACGGGUAGCCGGCCUGAGAGGGUGACCGGCCACACUGGGACUGAGAGACGGCCCAGACUCCUACGGGAGGCAGCAGUGGGGAAUAUUGCACAAUGGGCGAAAGCCUGAGGCAGCAACGCCGCGUGAGGGACGACGGCCUUCGGGUUGUAAACCUCUUUUAGCAGGGAAGAAGCGAAAGUGACGGUACCUGCAGAAAAAGCGCCGGCUAACUACGUG